CCCCUAAAGUUCAGCCGGAGCAGCAGGGAGAAAGAAAGAGAAAGAGCUUUCAGCAGAGAGCUGGAAGUGAUGGGAGGAGGGACCCAGGUUCGGGUCAGAGCCUCCACAGGUUGGUUUGUUGUUGUUGGGAUCUUUGGCUGGGGAAGGGGAGGCGGUGGGGGGGGUGCUGCGAGCGGGUCCGAGAGGGCAGCGCUGCUUCCUUCUAACCCCGCGCUCUCGGACGAGGGCGGCAGGCAGGGAGGCAGAAGGGGUUUAUUUUUUCACACACACACACCCCCGACUGCUCUUUCCCCUUCCCUCUGCCUGCUCCCUCCCCCGCAAACUUUCUGUGCCAGGCGGGGGCCGCGGCAGAGGCCGCCCGCGCCCAGCUGUCAAAAACACCCAGCGACCGCCGCCAACUUUGUGGCGAGGGCGGCCGGCGGCGCCGCGCGGGGCUGCCGCCCCUCUGCCUCCUCUGCCCCCUUUCGCCUUCCCGUCCUCCGCCCCGCUGCUCCUCGAGCGGCUGCAGUCCCUCCCGCUGCUUCUCUUCCUUAUCGGCUCCAGGCGCUGCUGGAGCGAGAGAGAGGGAAGGCGGCAAUGCGAAAGAAAGCUGGAGGGAGGGCUGAGAGGGGGCAGAGAGACGGCGGAAAAUGGAGCGUAGCCCAGAGGAGGGGGGAACAGACAAGAGUCACAUCUGUGUGUGACACGGAGCCAAACCGAGCGAAACCCUGCCCCGGCGGCGCCGUGGAAGCGCAGCCGCCGCCGCGGCCCUGACUGGGCGCGCAGGCACACGGCGGCCGGCCGGGCGCGCUCCCGCGGGGGCGCGGGGCGGGGCGGGACGUUCCGCGCCCUCCCGCGGCCGCCGGCGGACCGGAGCGGGCCGAGCUGCUCCGCACGGAGCUAGCGCACGGCGCCCGGCACCGCGCUGCCCACCGUCAGUCCCCCUGUCCCCUCUGAAGCCUUCCCUUACCGGUUCGAAGCGCCGGUCUCCAGGCGAGCCCCGCCGGCGGCGCCGAGGGGGUGGCGGAACCGACCCGCGUCGUACAGGGGCUGCUCGGUCGGGGGAAGGUGGCUGAGGGCUGUCAGGCUUCACCUGCGGGGACAGACAGCCCGGCCCGGCUGUCCCUCGUGUCCGGCCUGAGAAGGCGCUGAGGGUCACCAGUGCGGUCAAAACCGGCUUCCCUCGUCAAGGCGCCGUGUAAACACGAGGUUUAUACACGAGGUUUAAACACGACCGGAGCGUUAAAAAGUGAACACGAGGAGAACUUUCCAGGCGAUGUGAAACACAGAUAGAACAUUUUGCUCCUUUUUGGUGUGGCUGGACACUAAGAUGACCUAGCAGGAACUGAGAAAAAUUGAGAGAAGAGGGGAGGUAGCCGUCUGCAGUCCUGAUUUUUCCUGCAUCUGCUAUGGACUGAACUCACAGUAAGCUUGCUGUAAUGAACGGCAUGUCCCCGGGAAUUGCCAACUUCCCAUGCUUGUUACCAUAUUUUGGCAUCUUUGUUACUUAUGUAUUUCCUAUGCCUGUCAGAAGAGAGAAGGAACAACCUAUGUGUUUAUGACUACAUGAGCAUCUCUAUAAAACAAGUAAGAUGAUAAAGGAAGAAUACCUAAUACAGAAAUGGACAGAUUUUGAAUGCAGAAGAUACCUAAAAAAAAGACUUCACAGUUUUACAGGAAAAGAAAGUGUAAUAUAGAGCAGAAACACGAAAGGGAAGAUCUGUAUUUGGCUCUGAAAGGCACAACUCAUUCUUCAGAAUGGUAUAGCAUGGGAUGACUCUGAAGCUGUGAAAUAUAAAUCAGAGAGAGGGGAGCUCUAAGAAGGACUUCAUUUAAGCUCCAGAGAUGCUUCAUGAGAUACACGGCACUGCUGUAGAAUUCAAGGCAGCUCACACUUGGAUACUCAAAUCUAAUAAGUCUUCACAAUGAGGUACUGUGUAUACAAAAUGUGCUAGUGAACUGAGAGCCUAUCCAGAUUUAGGAAAGGGAAAUAAAGUACUGACAUAGUUCAUGGCUCCAAGCAUAGAAAUCUUAAGACAGAGAAAACUCAUGUAAGGGAUUCUAGUUGAGUACUUGGAAAUUAUAGGGUGCUACCUGCCAUUACACUUCCUGGCCUAUCCCAACUUCAGUUAUAUGCCCUGUCCCUUCUCAAACUUCAUCCAGAUUCCUUUUUUACUCUAGGCUCUUCUUCUCUCUAAUAUCUCUCAGUUCUAUCAACAGCAUCAAUUGUUCAUGUUCAGGAAAAAUGCUUGCUGGUUGAGAGCAAGAUUAUGAAGGCAGAAACUUUACCCUGGCCUUUUUAAAAUGAAGGAAAAACUCCAUUCUCCACAGUCCAGCUGAAAACAUGAAGUUCCAGUUGAACUGAUGGAAUUAUGGCAUGGCUUGAUGAAUAAACAAGAUCUACUAUUGAAGAGCUUGGUUUUUCAUUUUAAUUUUUUAGAAUAUGGUAUUCUUGAUGGAUAUCAUUAGGAAACACACUUUGACCAUUUUCAAAGUCACUAAUAUUUGGCUAGGAAUCUUUUACCUGUAUCUGCCUUUUCAGUCUUGGAUAAUCAAGAGUAAAAAAAGAACAAUUUUCUAUAUUCAGGUUUCAGAAAUGAACCUCUUAUUCAGAAACAUCUGGAAAUUGUUGUUUCAGCAACUGAGGUCUUGUGUGGUGUAGAGAACAGCAGGUACAAUUAUGGAAAAGACUUUUGCUGUACUGUGGGUAGGAUUGCGUGGUGCUAACUAAAAGAAGGAUCAACCACCACACUGCUGUGAAGUGAACUGGACAAUAAAGACUCUUGGUUUCAUUUCUGAAGAAAUUACAAGUGCACUUGGGACUGUGCGUUCUGAAGACCAGAUAUGAAGCAAAAAAGCGAACCAAAUAAGUUAUUAGUAUCUGAGAGAGGCAGAAAGUUUGCAAUAUUGCAUCUCGCCAGAGCUUAUCUGGCUCUAUCCCUUCAUCCUGCUCCAGGAGUGGGUCACACCCCAGGAGCAGGAUGACCCGAGGUGUGACUAGAGCACUUGCACUACGGCUUUUUGGCUGUCAGUCUGAGCUCUGAGGAGACAAGGAUGAGAGGGAGGUCUUUUGCAUGGGACAACAGAGGAUUUAUUGCUCUGGGGAAUCUUGGGGGCAAAAGACAGAAAAUGCGAGCGUGCAACAGCUGAAAUAGGGAGGCGGUUCAAAGGGAGGGUACAAAGCAUCAGCUAAUCAGAGAUAUCCUGGGGAGGGUAAAAGGCAGGGUUCA
Poecile atricapillus (Black-capped chickadee) is the source of this 3209-nucleotide RNA transcript. RefSeq lists it as uncharacterized. The transcript is spliced from 5 exons. Lineage: Eukaryota; Metazoa; Chordata; Aves; Passeriformes; Paridae. The record is from RefSeq and is a predicted model, not a curated record.